AUACUUACCUGGCAGAGGAGAAACCAUGAUCAGGAAGGUGGUUUUUCCAGGGUGAGACUCAUCUAUCACACUCCGGAUGUGCUGACCUGUGCAAUUUCCCCAAAUGCAGGAAACCAGACUGCAUAAUUUGUGGCAGUGGGGGACUGCGUUUGUGCUUUACACUG
Manis pentadactyla (Chinese pangolin) is the source of this 164-nucleotide small nuclear RNA. RefSeq annotates it as U1 spliceosomal RNA. The transcript has a single exon. The record is from RefSeq and is a predicted model, not a curated record. NCBI's taxonomy places the organism in Eukaryota, Metazoa, Chordata, Mammalia, Pholidota, Manidae.